GUGCUCCCACUUUGAUAGCCCAUAUACUACAAUUGGAAGGGUACAGAGAAGAUCAGCAAGGCCCCAGGGCAAGGAUGACGUGUAAAUGUGUGAAGCAUCCCACGGUUUU
Molecule: small nuclear RNA, 109 nt
Organism: Acomys russatus (golden spiny mouse)
Lineage: Eukaryota; Metazoa; Chordata; Mammalia; Rodentia; Muridae
Source: RefSeq, a predicted model, not a curated record